This 378-nucleotide long non-coding RNA is filed under the name Brassica napus (rape). RNAcentral's name for it is "long non-coding RNA (BNAP_LNC004774)". Lineage: Eukaryota; Viridiplantae; Streptophyta; Magnoliopsida; Brassicales; Brassicaceae. The record is from RNAcentral.
UAUAAAGUUAUUAUUUUCUUGAUAAACGGAGACGACAAAGGCUCCAAACCUCUUUGAACAUCAUCAUAUGUUAAUGCAGGAUGCAACUAGGCAUUAAAACAAUAUUGUCAUAUUUUUUGAAAUUUUCUCAAAAUCUACGGGCUAACCCCUACAAAAAUAUUGAAUUUUUGGUAAAUACUUUAUAUACUGAAGCCUAUAAUCUUUAGUGUUGUUUUAAAAUUUCUACCAUAUUAUACAUUUUUAUUAAUGUAUGCUAAACUCAUUUUCAUGCAAAAUGAGCAUCGUUCAAUGGUUUUUAUCAAUUAAUUUAGUAAAACUUCAUAAUACCUCCUAAAUCGAUGGAAUAACCACUAUAAAAUUAUUAUUUUCUUGAUAAAC